UGGCACAUGUAUGAUGUACUGCACUACGUUAAGCGCCGCAAUACACAUAAAACAUUGUCUGAGACAAGUUACAAUACAACAUUCAAUUAGUAAUAUUGACUUAACAAUAAAUACAACAAAGGGGUCAUAGACGAGUAGUAAACCAUCAAAGACGACGAAUAAUAAAGACUUGGUCACUCACGUGGGUUACAAACAUGAUCUUAAAAACCCUAAUAAAGUGAGGAAAAAAGGUUUACAACCAAGACCAACCGCAAAAAACUUCUAAGAAUAACGCAAAGGUUUAGUCCAAAGCUUAUUAGGCAUAAAAAAUAAAAAUAUCUAGUAGACGUUAGUUCCAUAACUAACAAAGGAGGGAAUUAAUUUAUUAUUAGCUAUGUUACUUAAGGUCAUUAAUCUCUUUAGUAAUGGCAGGAAUGCAGCUAGUGCUUCUAGCAAUCUCACCUUUCUUUGGGACAAUUAUGUCCCUUGGACUAAUAGAUUUGGCUCUGAGAAUUCCCUUUCAAUCUCCAGCAUUCCUCUUCAACAUUUCCCUCAUAGCUUUAGCUUGAUAAAGAACAGGAUAAGCUCUACCAAAUUUAUUAAACUUGCUACAAGCACUCAUGUGGCUACUCAAUGCUUCUUCAUUCUUUCCUCCAUUAUUUUUCUGCUUCUUCUUUCACUGCUUCAACACACAGCCCACAUAUCCACUUUCCCGAAUACUUUUUUCGAACUUUAUCGAUGUAUUCGUAUGUGAAUUCUUCGCUCAUUCCACAACACUCGCAUUUUGCAAUUUCAACUUCAGAUAUUGGGGGUAGAUUUGUCUCAACAGUACAAGCCUCUUUGCUCAUAUCGGAUAUUGUCCUUUGUAAAUUAUCGUUGGAGAGUCGUGGGGGUUUGCUAAGGUUUUUUGUUCGUACGUAGGAAGUGGUAAUAGUCUCUCCAUGUGGUGCCAUUGUGCUAAUUUUCGACCAAAUAAUAUUUCAAUAAAAUGAUAGGCUUAGUUCUUAGAAGAAUUAUGGAUGAGGAAGAUGAAGAUGGUAUUGUUAUUUCAUCUUUUGCAAGUUGAAAGCCGAAAAGUUGUGGACCAUAUAGACUGAGACGUCACUACUGAAUCUAUCUAAACAUGAAUUGUACUCGUGAAAAUGCGCUAUGUUCAUGUGUCUUAAUAGAAAAGGCAAAACUUUGGCUGCUUGUUCACGUGCGUGAUGUGAUGCUUUCUUAUACUCCUCCAUUUGUUA
RNAcentral lists this long non-coding RNA (1217 nucleotides) under Nicotiana benthamiana. Its description in RNAcentral is "long non-coding RNA (NBEN_LNC017409)". Lineage: Eukaryota; Viridiplantae; Streptophyta; Magnoliopsida; Solanales; Solanaceae. The record is from RNAcentral.